This 3107-nucleotide ribosomal RNA is filed under the name Rothia sp. HMSC065D02. Its description in RNAcentral is "bacterial LSU rRNA". It matches the Rfam family "Bacterial large subunit ribosomal RNA". Lineage: Bacteria; Bacillati; Actinomycetota; Actinomycetes; Micrococcales; Micrococcaceae. The record is from RNAcentral.
GUGUAAGUUGUUAAGGGCACACGGUGGAUGCCUUGGCAUCAGGAGCCGAUGAAGGACGUGUGAAUCUGCGAUAAGCCUCGGGGAGCCGAUAACUGGGCGUGGAUCCGAGGAUUUCCGAAUGGGGAAACCUCGCUCAUCGUUAUGGUGGGUGACCGCUGGUUGAAUGUAUAGGCCAGUUGGGGGGAACGCGGGGAAGUGAAACAUCUCAGUACCCGCAGGAAGAGAAAAUAAUAAUGAUUCUGUUAGUAGUGGCGAGCGAACGCGGAUGAGACUAAACCUGUGGUGUGUGAUAGCGGUUAGGUGUUGCAUCAUGGGUGUUGUGGGAGUUGUUGUGGUGGUUCUAACUGGUCACCGGCGUAGUGCAUGAUGGUAGGCGAACUGGCUUGGAAUGGUCGACCGUAGUGGGUGAGAGUCCCGUAGUUGAAAGUGUUGUGUGUGCGUUGACAAUGUCCCGAGUAGCACGGGGCUCGUGGAAUCUCGUGUGAAUCUGCCAGGACCACCUGGUAAGUCUAAAUACUUCCUGAUGACCGAUAGUGGAUCAGUACCGUGAGGGAAUGGUGAAAAGUACCCCGGGAGGGGAGUGAAAUAGUACCUGAAACCGUGUGCUUACAAGCCGUUAUAGCCCCCCUUUUUUUGUGUGGGGUGGUGGCGUGCCUUUUGAAGAAUGAGCCUGCGAGUUAGUGUUUUGUCGCGAGGUUAACCCGUGUGGGGUAGUCGUAGCGAAAGCGAGUCUGAAGAGGGCGUUGUAGUGGCAGGAUCUAGACCCGAAGCGGAGUGAUCUAUCCAUGGCCAGGUUGAAGCACGUGUAAGAGCGUGUGGAGGACCGAACCCACCUAGGUUGAAAACUGGGGGGAUGAGCUGUGGAUAGGGGUGAAAGGCCAAUCAAACUCUGUGAUAGCUGGUUCUCCCCGAAAUGCAUUUAGGUGCAGCGUUACAUGUUUCUUGCUGGAGGUAGAGCUACUGGAUAGCCGAUGGGCCCGUGAGGGUUACUGACGUUAGCUAAACUCCGAAUGCCGGUAAGUGAGAGUGUAGCAGUGAGACAGUGGGGGAUAAGCUUCAUUGUCGAGAGGGAAACAGCCCAGACCAUCAACUAAGGCCCCUAAGCGUGUGCUAAGUGGGAAAGGAUGUGGAGUUGCUGAGACAACCAGGAGGUUGGCUUAGAAGCAGCCAUCCUUGAAAGAGUGCGUAAUAGCUCACUGGUCAAGUGAUUCUGCGCCGAUAAUGUAGCGGGGCUCAAGUACACCGCCGAAGUUGUGGCAAUCAGCUUUUUGUGGCUGGUUGGGUAGGGGAGCGUCCUGCACGAGGUGAAGCUGCCACGGGAGUGUGUGGUGGAUUGUGUGGGAGUGAGAAUGCAGGCAUGAGUAGCGAAUCACGGGUGAGAAACCCGUGCGCCGGAUGAUCAAGGGUUCCAGGGUCAAGUUAAUCUGCCCUGGGUUAGUCGGGGCCUAAGGCGAGGCCGACAGGCGUAGUCGAUGGAGAACGGGUUGAUAUUCCCGUACCAGUGAAGGACCGUCCAUACUGAUAUUGUGAUGCUAACCAUGCCGAUCACGGUGUCAUGAAGUUUUUCUUUGUGGUGUUGUGGGGUGUGUGGGACCCAAGCUUUGGAGGUAAGCGUGUUAACAGGUGUGACGCAGGAAGGUAGCCAAGCCACGCGGUGGUUGUCGUGGUCUAAGCGUGUAGGAUGACUGGUUGUUAAAUGCGCUGGUUGUGUGUCUGAGACGUGAUGGGACCCCUUGUUUGUGGGGGAUUUGGUGAUCCUAUGCUGCCGAGAAAAGCAUCGGCGUGAGGUUUUAGCUGCCCGUACCCGAAACCGACACAGGUGAUCAGGUAGAGAAUACUAAGGCGAUCGAGAGAAUCAUGGUUAAGGAACUCGGCAAAAUGCCCCCGUAACUUCGGGAGAAGGGGGGCCCUGAGCGUGAUCUGCCCGUGCGGUGGGGAGCGUGUAGGGGUCGCAGAGACCAGGGGGAAGCGACUGUUUAUCAAAAACACAGGUCCGUGCGAAGUCGUAAGACGAGGUAUACGGACUGACUCCUGCCCGGUGCUGGAAGGUUAAGAGGAUUGGUUAGCCCUGUGUGGGCGAAGCUGAGAAUUUAAGCCCCAGUAAACGGCGGUGGUAACUAUAACCAUCCUAAGGUAGCGAAAUUCCUUGUCGGGUAAGUUCCGACCUGCACGAAUGGAGUAACGACUUCCCUACUGUCUCAACCAUGAACUCGGUGAAAUUGCAGUACGAGUAAAGAUGCUCGUUUCGCGCAGCAGGACGGAAAGACCCCGUGACCUUUACUAUAGUUUGGUAUUGGUGUUUGGGUUGGCUUGUGUAGGAUAGGUGGGAGACUGUGAAGCUGUCACGCUAGUGGUGGUGGAGUCGUUGUUGAAAUACCACUCUGGUCAAUCUGGAUGUCUAACUUCGGGCCAUGAUCUGGUUCAGGGACAGUGCCUGAUGGGUAGUUUAACUGGGGCGGUUGCCUCCUAAAGUGUAACGGAGGCGCCCAAAGGUUCCCUCAGCCUGGUUGGCAAUCAGGUGUUGAGUGUAAGUGCACAAGGGAGCUUGACUGUGAGAGUGGCGACUCGAGCAGGGACGAAAGUCGGGACUAGUGAUCCGGCAGUGGCUUGUGGAAGCGCUGUCGCUCAACGGAUAAAAGGUACCUCGGGGAUAACAGGCUGAUCUUGCCCAAGAGUCCAUAUCGACGGCAUGGUUUGGCACCUCGAUGUCGGCUCGUCGCAUCCUGGGGCUGGAGUCGGUCCCAAGGGUUGGGCUGUUCGCCCAUUAAAGCGGUACGCGAGCUGGGUUCAGAACGUCGUGAGACAGUUCGGUCCCUAUCCGCUGCGCGCGUUGGAGAAUUGAGAAAGGCUGUCCUUAGUACGAGAGGACCGGGACGGACGAACCUCUGGUAUGUCAGUUGUACCGCCAGGUGCAUGGCUGAUUGGCUACGUUCGGGAGGGAUAACCGCUGAAGGCAUCUAAGCGGGAAGCCUGUUUCGAGAUGAGUUCUCCUGGCACUCUUUGUGGUGUGUGAGGCUCCUUAGAGAUGAUGAGGUUGAUAGGCUGGGUAUGGAAGCGUUGUAAGGCGUGGAGUUGACUGGUACUAAUAGGCCGAAGACUUAUUCACA